Molecule: transfer RNA, 73 nt
Filed under: Streptomyces caniscabiei
Lineage: Bacteria; Bacillati; Actinomycetota; Actinomycetes; Kitasatosporales; Streptomycetaceae
Description: tRNA-Trp
Rfam family: tRNA
About the family: Transfer RNA (tRNA) molecules are approximately 80 nucleotides in length. Their secondary structure includes four short double-helical elements and three loops (D, anti-codon, and T loops). Further hydrogen bonds mediate the characteristic L-shaped molecular structure. tRNAs have two regions of fundamental functional importance: the anti-codon, which is responsible for specific mRNA codon recognition, and the 3' end, to which the tRNAs corresponding amino acid is attached (by aminoacyl-tRNA synthetases). tRNAs cope with the degeneracy of the genetic code in two manners: having more than one tRNA (with a specific anti-codon) for a particular amino acid; and 'wobble' base-pairing, i.e. permitting non-standard base-pairing at the 3rd anti-codon position.
Source: RNAcentral
CGGGGCGUAGCGCAGAGGCAGGCGCGCCGGUCUCCAAAACCGGAACACGCUGGUUCGAAUCCAGCCGCCCCGU